This 760-nucleotide small RNA is filed under the name Histoplasma ohiense. Its description in RNAcentral is "hypothetical lncRNA". Lineage: Eukaryota; Fungi; Ascomycota; Eurotiomycetes; Onygenales; Ajellomycetaceae. The record is from RNAcentral.
AAAUGCCGAGAUGCAUGCACUCACGAUCCCGUACGGAAUAGCAUCAGAGGGGAAAGUGUUUUGUACACCGCAGAUGCCCCUUUAAUAAGUAUAUCCAGAAUUUCAGGCAGCUGAUAAUGUGAUCCAUCUGAGGGCAGUGCGCCGCAAUUCUCACAAACUGUACAGAUUAAGCGGGACGCGGAUUGGAAGAACUGGAAGAUUGAAGGGUUUAUAUGGGCCAGCCAUUGCGCGAAGAAUAAUCAGUGGCAUUGAAGCGGAGGGCCGUUCCACUGUUUAGCAGUGUUGAAAUAGUGUCCUUCAGGACACCCGCCCGCUGAUGGCUCGAUGCCUACAUUUUGAGCAUCACAACAGAGAAAGAGGAGAAGGAAGGGAAAAGAAAAAGCAACCGUGGCGCAAAUCUGCUUCCUGCAUUUUGAGUGCAUAGCAAAAAAGGUUGGAUCAGAGGCUUGAGCCAGUCCUUGCAAUACGCAAGAAAUUCAAAUGGAAAUCUCAAUACCAGAGUCCUCACGGUGGAAGUUAUGGGGCCUGAUGCCUAACCUUGACAGCCAAGCUUUAGGCCUCAAGCCUCUAAACCGACCCCAACUGUUUAGUGGUCUUAGCAGCUGAUGUAUCCGUAUAAAUUUCUAGUCUGCGCAAGGACCUGUUCCAAGCUUUUGAAGUCCCCAUUGUUGAAAAAAGAAUCGGUAGUUGUUGCCAUCGGGCUCUUCGUCUACUACGUAGAAGCUACUGCUACAUGGUACAACAUCAUACGAUCCCCCAG